Molecule: unclassified non-coding RNA, 312 nt
Filed under: plant metagenome
Description: partial contains 5.8S ribosomal RNA, internal transcribed spacer 2, and large subunit ribosomal RNA
Rfam family: 5.8S ribosomal RNA (bases 1-105)
Source: RNAcentral
GAAAUGCGAUAAGUAAUGUGAAUUGCAGAAUUCCGUGAAUCAUCGAAUCUUUGAACGCACAUUGCGCCCUCUGGCAUUCCGGGGGGCAUGCCUGUCCGAGCGUCAUUACGCACCCUCAAGCCCGGCUUGUGUGAUGGGCCCUGGCGUCUCGUUCGCGAGACGGGCCCGAAAGGCAGCGGCGGCGUCGACCCGAUGAGCCCGAGCGUAUGGGCACUUUUGUCACACGUUUGCGGUGCGGACCGGCGCCUGCUUGACUUUUCUGAUUAUCCAGGUUGACCUCGGAUCAGGUAGGGAUACCCGCUGAACUUAAGC